Molecule: long non-coding RNA, 1623 nt
Filed under: Homo sapiens (human)
Lineage: Eukaryota; Metazoa; Chordata; Mammalia; Primates; Hominidae
Description: HSALNT0049681
Source: RNAcentral
CGAGCCCCGGCCCCAGCACGCGCUCUCCCGGCUGGAACUGUUACUACGCAGGAGGGGAACAUGCGUGUGUGUGGAGGGGGACCUGUGAGCGGAGGAUGUAGAGAGACAGCUGAGAACUGUGAGACAGCGCCAGUCCCCAAGGCCCCAGUGGCUGUGUGGAGGUCAGAGGUGCUGCCGUGUGGUCCCGUCUCAUGGAGACAGUGGCCGUGCUCCUGACCCCAGGCCAGUGCCUGCAGCCCCUUCCUUCCUUGCCUGCCUGAUCACACAAGCAUUAGCAAGAUGAUUCUGCUCCUGUCUUGAAAAGUGUUCUUUCAGCACGGACCUCCGUCUGUUACGUUCAGAAACGACAUGACUCUCAUCACCCAUGAAACGACGGGGCUCUCAUCACCCAUGAAACGACGUGGCUCUCAUCACCCAUGAAACGAUGGGACUCUCAUCACCCAUGAAACGCGAUCAUUACUGGGCAGUUUUCUCCCCUCUCCAGCACAGACCCAGCCACGGGCCAGGAGGUUGAUCAGGCUCAGAGGUUUGAUCUAAUCUCACAGGGGCAGUCUGGGGCUGGCGUUCAGGUGCCAUCGGGCAUGGGGCUGAGGUGUGAAGCAGCUUGUGAAUUCACUGGCUGAAACCAGUUCUGCCCAGACCUUCUCACCAGAUCAAGACCUUCCUGCGAUUUUCAUUUUGUCACACUCAGCAUCAGUUUUUCAAACUCUUGGGUCCUUAAUGUUCCUAAUGCCCUGCCUGACAACUGCCUGACACCUGCCCAUGGAACGUUCCCUUAUGUUGAGAAAAAGGUCGGAGAACCGCCAACGCGGCCGGGAGACCAGGCCAGCAUCAAAUGGAGGCCGUGAGUUUACCCAGUGGGCUUCAGAGGCGUCCACGGGAAGAAAGCUGUGACCACCACUGGAGGAAGCAGCACUGCAGCCACGACCGUGUGCUCCUCACAGGCUCUGCACCUUCUCCAACUGCUGUGUGACCUUGGGGAGUUCCCCUGACGUCUCUGUGCGGUACUGCAGCCACGACCGUGUGCUCCUCACAGGCUCUGCACCUUCUCCAACUGCUGUGUGACCUUGGGGAGUUCCCCUGACCUCUCUGUGCGGUACUGCAGCCACGACCGUGUGCUCCUCACAGGCUCUGCACCUUCUCCAACUGCUGUGUGACCUUGGGGAGUUCCCCUGAACUUGACCUCUCUGUGCGGUACUGCAGCCACGACUGUGUGCUCCUCAUGGGGCUCUGCACCUUCUCCAACCGCUGUGUGACCUUGGGGAGUUCCCCUGACCUCUCUGUGCGGUACUGCAGCCACGACUGUGUGCUCCUCAUGGGGCUCUGCACCUUCUCCAACAGCUGUUAGGGAGUUCAGAACUGCAACAGAACUUGGGGAGUUCCCCUGCCCUCUCUGUGCGGAGGCUUCUUUGUCUGCACAAGGGGAAUAAUACUAUGGUCCAUGAGAUAUUGUGUGUAAAGCCUCGGCACCACACCUGGGGCUUCAUCUGUGCUCAAAAAGUUAGAUAUUGUCGUUUUACUUAUGCUGAUAAUUAUGUCUCUUUUCUCCCACAUCUGUCUACCUCACAUCUGGUCCUGCCCGACGGUCUUAUCGCUUCAUCGAUGGUAGGUUCUGGAUUCCCC